CCAUUUUGAACAAAAAAAAUUAAGUCAUGUCAUAUUAAGCUGAAAAGAUAAAGAUGAGAUGCAAUCUUGUCUCUCGACAUACAAAACAAUAAUUAAUAGUAAAGAGAAAGGUAGGAGAGAGUAGUCGAGGGGGCUAUCCACGGUUAUUUCACAACAAGAAGAGUAAAUCAUUGACUGCAUGGGAUUAUCUAUGAUUGCUUCCUGCGGCUUCCCAUGGUGACUCUUCCCCUCGUCUUUAUGAUAAAUCAUCUAGACAUCUUCAAGUCAUCCUUUUAGCUGCUCUUAUUUUGGCAAGUGAUUGCCUUAUUUUGCCGAAUUUAAGUGUUUAGCAAGCCAUGAGAAAGGCAAGAACACUUAAGAAAAACUUGAUAUCUGAUGGCGUGUUUUUUGUGUUUUUUUA
RNAcentral lists this long non-coding RNA (400 nucleotides) under Gossypium barbadense (sea-island cotton). RNAcentral's name for it is "long non-coding RNA (GBAR_LNC019071)". The record is from RNAcentral. Lineage: Eukaryota; Viridiplantae; Streptophyta; Magnoliopsida; Malvales; Malvaceae.